UGGGGAAUCUUCCGCAAUGGACGAAAGUCUGACGGAGCGACGCCGCGUGAGUGACGAAGGCCUUCGGGUCGUAAAGCUCUGUCGUCGGGGACGAACGGUCACAUCAGGAAAUGGGUGUGAAGUGACGGUACCCGAGAAGGAAGCCACGGCUAACUACGUGCCAGCAGCCGCGGUAAUACGUAGGUGGCGAGCGUUGUCCGGAAUUAUUGGGCGUAAAGCGCGCGCAGGUGGGAUCUUAAGUCUGUUUUCAAAGUGCGGAGCUUAACUCCGUGAUGGGAUAGAAACUGGGAUUCUUGAGUACCGGAGAGGAAAGCGGAAUUCCCCGUGUAGCGGUGAAAUGCGUAGAUAUGGGGAGGAACACCAGUGGCGAAGGCGGCUUUCUGGACGGUGUCUGACACUG
Molecule: ribosomal RNA, 400 nt
Filed under: uncultured bacterium
Lineage: Bacteria
Description: bacterial SSU rRNA
Rfam family: Bacterial small subunit ribosomal RNA
Source: RNAcentral